GCCAAUGUAGCUCAGUUGGUAGAGCUGCUGAUUUGUAAUCAGCAGGUCGGCGGUUCGAGUCCGUCCAUUGGCUCCA
RNAcentral lists this transfer RNA (76 nucleotides) under Bacteroidota bacterium. RNAcentral's name for it is "Bacteroidetes bacterium (activated sludge metagenome) tRNA-Thr". It matches the Rfam family "tRNA". From Rfam's summary of the family: Transfer RNA (tRNA) molecules are approximately 80 nucleotides in length. Their secondary structure includes four short double-helical elements and three loops (D, anti-codon, and T loops). RNAcentral also lists the same sequence under 1 other name. The record is from RNAcentral. Lineage: Bacteria; Pseudomonadati; Bacteroidota.